RNAcentral lists this ribosomal RNA (163 nucleotides) under Laguncularia racemosa. Its description in RNAcentral is "5.8S ribosomal RNA". It matches the Rfam family "5.8S ribosomal RNA". From Rfam's summary of the family: 5.8S ribosomal RNA (5.8S rRNA) is a component of the large subunit of the eukaryotic ribosome. It is transcribed by RNA polymerase I as part of the 45S precursor that also contains 18S and 28S rRNA. Lineage: Eukaryota; Viridiplantae; Streptophyta; Magnoliopsida; Myrtales; Combretaceae. The record is from RNAcentral.
CGAACGACUCUCGGCAACGGAUAUCUCGGCUCUCGCAUCGAUGAAGAACGUAGCGAAAUGCGAUACUUGGUGUGAAUUGCAGAAUCCCGCGAACCAUCGAGUCUUCGAACGCAAGUUGCGCCCGAGGCCCCGGCCGAGGGCACGUCUGCCUGGGUGUCACGCA